This is a long non-coding RNA of Camellia sinensis, 630 nucleotides long. RefSeq lists it as uncharacterized. Lineage: Eukaryota; Viridiplantae; Streptophyta; Magnoliopsida; Ericales; Theaceae. The record is from RefSeq and is a predicted model, not a curated record.
UUAGCUGCGACCAUCCUGAUUGGAACUGAAGAAUCUUAAAAUCUGCCACACAUCACAAAAGAAUAUCAGAGCAUGUCUCAAGGGUGGCAAAACAAGGACACAAGGACAUCUAUUUCUGUUUAUGUUACAGGGACUCAUGUACAAGUAUUGCAUGUGGGGAGAAUGACAGGAAGAGAGCUUGCUCUAGUAGUGCAUGAACAAAGCCCCGGUGCUCUCCAGAACAGGCUUGUUAUGACGGAUGGUGGCAUAUUGGAUGAACCAAGGUUGUAUGCCCGGCAGUGAGGGAGUGCCGCAGCUACAACAUUGAUGAAUCAAUUCGUGGGUUUGGAAUUGGUGGAGAAGCACGGUGCUAAUGUCUGUUUUUGGUUCAAUCAAUUCUAAGUACUUUGUGCCUUUGUUUUGGCUCUACUUCCAAGUUUAUUUGGUUUGUUAUUUUGAGUUUUUUACAACUCUAUUUAAAGAUUUUUGUUCAUUUAUUUGGUGAGAUUUUUCUUCUUAUUUAUUUGUGAUUAUUUGGAAUUUACUAAGCGUAGUUUUGUGAGACUAUUUGUGUCUCGUUUGUAAUCGUUUGAACACUUUUUAACUGAUAGUGGAAUCAGAUUUCGAUCUCGUUGACGUACCUCACAUUGA